UACGUAUGUGGCAAGCGUUGUCCGGAUUUAUUGGGUUUAAAGGGUGCGUAGGCGGUCAGAUAAGUCAGUGGUGAAAUACGGCAGCUUAACUGUCGAGGUGCCAAUGAUACUGUUUGACUAGAGUACUGAUGAGGUAGGCGGAAUGGACGGUGUAGCGGUGAAAUGCUUAGAGAUCGUCCAGAACACCGAUCGCGAAGGCAGCUUACUAAGGAGUAACUGACGCUGAGGCACGAAAGUGUGGGGAUCAAACAGG
This 253-nucleotide ribosomal RNA is filed under the name uncultured bacterium. RNAcentral's name for it is "partial 16S ribosomal RNA". It matches the Rfam family "Bacterial small subunit ribosomal RNA", at positions 524 to 776 of the family's 1533-position model. The record is from RNAcentral.